GCCGGGGAAGCUCAUUGGAUGAGCCGUCGGCUGAUAACCGACAGGCAGUGAGUUCGACUCUCACCCUCGGUACCA
Molecule: transfer RNA, 75 nt
Filed under: Acidobacteriota bacterium
Lineage: Bacteria; Pseudomonadati; Acidobacteriota
Also listed under: 1 other name
Description: Acidobacteria bacterium (marine sediment metagenome) tRNA-Ile
Rfam family: tRNA
About the family: Transfer RNA (tRNA) molecules are approximately 80 nucleotides in length. Their secondary structure includes four short double-helical elements and three loops (D, anti-codon, and T loops).
Source: RNAcentral